RNAcentral lists this ribosomal RNA (518 nucleotides) under uncultured bacterium. Its description in RNAcentral is "bacterial SSU rRNA". It matches the Rfam family "Bacterial small subunit ribosomal RNA", at positions 8 to 521 of the family's 1533-position model. The record is from RNAcentral.
AGAGUUUGAUCCUGGCUCAGAUUGAACGCUGGCGGCAUGCCUUACACAUGCAAGUCGAACGGCAGCACGGGGGCAACCCUGGUGGCGAGUGGCGAACGGGUGAGUAAUACAUCGGAACGUGUCCUGUAGUGGGGGAUAGCCCGGCGAAAGCCGGAUUAAUACCGCAUACGCUCUACGGAGGAAAGGGGGGGAUCUUAGGACCUCCCGCUACAGGGGCGGCCGAUGGCAGAUUAGCUAGUUGGUGGGGUAAAGGCCUACCAAGGCGACGAUCUGUAGCUGGUCUGAGAGGACGACCAGCCACACUGGGACUGAGACACGGCCCAGACUCCUACGGGAGGCAGCAGUGGGGAAUUUUGGACAAUGGGGGCAACCCUGAUCCAGCAAUGCCGCGUGUGUGAAGAAGGCCUUCGGGUUGUAAAGCACUUUUGUCCGGAAAGAAAACGCCGUGGUUAAUACCCGUGGCGGAUGACGGUACCGGAAGAAUAAGCACCGGCUAACUACGUGCCAGCAGCCGCGGU